AAUCAACGCUGGCGGCGUGCCUCAGACAUGCAAGUCGAACGAUUAAACUCGCCUUCGGGUGAGAUAUAAAGUGGCGCACGGGUGAGUAACACGUAGGGUAAUGUGCCUUUGGGUGGGGAAUAACAGUCGGAAACGACUGCUAAUACCGCAUAAUGCAGCGGCUCCUUCGGGAGACAGUUGUUAAAGAUUUAUCGCCUAAAGAGCAGCCUGCGGCAGAUUAGCUAGNGGUAAGGUAACGGCUUACCAAGGCAACGAUCUGUAUCCGACCUGAGAGGGUGGUCGGACACACUGACACUGAAUAACGGGUCAGACUCCUACGGGAGGCAGCAGUCGGGAAUUUUGGGCAAUGGGCGCAAGCCUGACCCAGCAACGCCGCGUGAAGGAUGAAGUUUUUCGGAAU
RNAcentral lists this ribosomal RNA (400 nucleotides) under uncultured bacterium. RNAcentral's name for it is "bacterial SSU rRNA". It matches the Rfam family "Bacterial small subunit ribosomal RNA", at positions 32 to 424 of the family's 1533-position model. The record is from RNAcentral.